Molecule: unclassified non-coding RNA, 219 nt
Filed under: fungal sp.
Lineage: Eukaryota; Fungi
Description: partial internal transcribed spacer region
Rfam family: Eukaryotic small subunit ribosomal RNA (bases 1-46)
Source: RNAcentral
AAGUCGUAACAAGGUAACCGUAGGUGAACCUGCGGUUGGAUCAUUAGUGAACCUAAAGGGGCCGGUCAGUUUCGGCUGAUGCGGUCUCUGGCCCUCGGGCCUUUAACCCCUGUGAAUUGUUUGUUUGGCCUGUAAUGGGCCAAAAUAUUAAACAUUGUCUUGACUGUCUUAUCCUAAAAUCAAUUGAAACAACUUUUGACAACGGAUCUCUAGGCUCUC